Molecule: unclassified non-coding RNA, 148 nt
Organism: Papio anubis (olive baboon)
Lineage: Eukaryota; Metazoa; Chordata; Mammalia; Primates; Cercopithecidae
Rfam family: Metazoan signal recognition particle RNA
About the family: The signal recognition particle (SRP) is a universally conserved ribonucleoprotein. It is involved in the co-translational targeting of proteins to membranes.
Source: Ensembl
GCCGGGCAUGGUGGCGUGUGCCUGUAGUCCCAGCUACUCAGGAGGCUGAGGCAGAAGAAUUGCUUGAACCCGGAAGGCAGAGGUUGCAGUGAGCUGAGGUCGUGCCACUGCACUCCGGUCUGGGUGACAGAGCGAGAGUCUGUCUCAA